This 69-nucleotide transfer RNA is filed under the name Marmota monax (woodchuck). RNAcentral's name for it is "tRNA.Val". It matches the Rfam family "tRNA". Rfam says of the family: Transfer RNA (tRNA) molecules are approximately 80 nucleotides in length. Their secondary structure includes four short double-helical elements and three loops (D, anti-codon, and T loops). The record is from RNAcentral. Lineage: Eukaryota; Metazoa; Chordata; Mammalia; Rodentia; Sciuridae.
GGAUGUGGCUCAGUGGUAAAAUGCUUGCUUUACAUGCAUGAGGUCCUGGGUUCAAUCCCCAGUGUCACA